AAUCCGGGGCAUCUUGG
Molecule: unclassified non-coding RNA, 17 nt
Filed under: Mus musculus (house mouse)
Lineage: Eukaryota; Metazoa; Chordata; Mammalia; Rodentia; Muridae
Description: oocyte_clustered_small_RNA5135
Source: RNAcentral